CUGCUGCCUCCCGUAGGAGUCUGGUCCGUGUCUCAGUACCAGUGUGGGGGACCUUCCUCUCAGAACCCCUACGCAUCGUCGCCUCGGUGGGCCGUUACCCCGCCGACUAGCUAAUGCGCCGCAUGGCCAUCCGCAGCCGAUGAAUCUUUAACCGCCGAGGGAUGCCCCUCUGCGGUGUUACGCGGUAUUAGACGGAAUUUCUUCCGCUUAUCCCCCUGCUGCGGGCAGGUUCCAUACGUGUUACUCACCCGUGCGCCGGUCGCCGGG
RNAcentral lists this ribosomal RNA (267 nucleotides) under uncultured bacterium. RNAcentral describes it as "partial 16S ribosomal RNA". The record is from RNAcentral.